This 315-nucleotide ribosomal RNA is filed under the name Triticum aestivum (bread wheat). RNAcentral's name for it is "partial small subunit ribosomal RNA". Lineage: Eukaryota; Viridiplantae; Streptophyta; Magnoliopsida; Poales; Poaceae. The record is from RNAcentral.
AUGGCGUCCGUGACUGCAGAAAUUACUUGGCUACGGUGGCUUCUUCAAGAUUUUGGUGUUUCCACUGCUGCACCGACCCCUCUGCUCUCCGACAGCACUGGGGCACUCAGCAUUGCCCAUGAUCCUGUUAAGCAUGAGCUCACCAAGCACAUCGGUGUUGAUGCCUCCUACACGCGUUCUCAGGUGCAAGACAGAAUUGUGGCCCCUCAGUAUGUGCCCUCGAAGCUUCAGCUUGCUGAUUUUCUGACGAAAGCUCAGACACGGUCCCAACACAACCUUUUCCUGUCCAAACUCGGUGUCCAAGAUCCCCCUUGA